GCACCAGACUCCUACGGGAGGCAGCAGUGGGGAAUAUUGCACAAUGGGGGGAACCCUGAUGCAGCGACGCCGCGUGGGCGAUGGAGCGCCUCGGCGCGUAAAGCCCUAUCAGCAGGGAAGAAGAUGACGGUACCUGACUAAGAAGCCCCGGCUAAAUACGUGCCAGCAGCCGCGGUAAUACGUAGGGGGCAAGCGUUAUCCGGAUUUACUGGGUGUAAAGGGAGCGUAGACAGCAUGGCAAGUCAGAUGUGAAAGCCCAGGGCUCAACCCCGGGACUGCAUUUGAAACUGUCAGGCUGGAGUGCAGGAGAGGUAAGUGGAAUUCCUAGUGUAGCGGUGAAAUGCGUAGAUAUUAGGAGGAACACCAGUGGCGAAGGCGGCUUACUGGACUGUAACUGACGUUGAGGCUCGAAAGCGUGGGGAGCAAACAGGAUUAGAUACCCGCGUA
Molecule: ribosomal RNA, 447 nt
Filed under: uncultured bacterium
Lineage: Bacteria
Description: bacterial SSU rRNA
Rfam family: Bacterial small subunit ribosomal RNA
Source: RNAcentral